This 224-nucleotide long non-coding RNA is filed under the name Phoenix dactylifera (date palm). RNAcentral's name for it is "long non-coding RNA (PDAC_LNC003516)". Lineage: Eukaryota; Viridiplantae; Streptophyta; Magnoliopsida; Arecales; Arecaceae. The record is from RNAcentral.
AUAGGGGGUGGGGUUCGCGUGUCCCGUCUCUUUCCCCUAGCUAUAUUUACCAUUUCGUCAAUCACUACAAGAAAAUACACUUUUAGUGACUACUUUCGGCAACUAAAUGAAUAGUGGUCGCUGCAAAUAAGGCUAUUGGCGACCAACAUCCUUGUUAGUUACUGAAUGAUUGUCCUACACCAACUAAAUGCAUAUUUGGUCGCGGAAAAUCAAAACCAAGUUGG